AUAGCGUAUAUUAAAGUUGUUGCAGUUAAAAAGCUCGUAGUUGAACUUCAGACUUGGUCGGGCGGUCCGCUUAACGGCGUGUACUGUCUGACUGGGCCUUACCUCUUGGUGAGCCGGCGUGCCCUUUAUUGGGUGCGUCGGGGAACCAGGACUUUUACCUUGAGAAAAUUAGAGUGUUCAAAGCAGGCCUACGCCCGAAUACAUUAGCAUGGAAUAAUAGAAUAGGACGUGCGGUUCUAUUUUGUUGGUUUCUAGAGUCGCCGUAAUGAUUAAUAGGGAUAGUUGGGGGCAUUUGUAUUGCGUUGCUAGAGGUGAAAUUCUUGGAUUUACGCAAGACAAACUACUG
RNAcentral lists this ribosomal RNA (346 nucleotides) under uncultured eukaryote. Its description in RNAcentral is "SSU rRNA". It matches the Rfam family "Eukaryotic small subunit ribosomal RNA", at positions 594 to 945 of the family's 1831-position model. The record is from RNAcentral.